RNAcentral lists this ribosomal RNA (230 nucleotides) under uncultured bacterium. Its description in RNAcentral is "partial 16S ribosomal RNA". It matches the Rfam family "Bacterial small subunit ribosomal RNA", at positions 99 to 334 of the family's 1533-position model. The record is from RNAcentral.
CGGACGGGUGAGUAAUGUCUGGGAACUGCCCGAUGGAGGGGGAUAACUACUGGAAACGGUAGCUAAUACCGCAUAACGUCGCAAGACCAAAGAGGGGGACCUUCGGGCCUCUUGCCAUCGGAUGUGCCCAGAUGGGAUUAGCUAGUAGGUGGGGUAACGGCUCACCUAGGCGACGAUCCCUAGCUGGUCUGAGAGGAUGACCAGCCACACUGGAACUGAGACACGGCCAG